CUACUCACGUGCCGUUGACGAUGCUUCAAGCCAUCAGCGGAAACGGUCCGUAAAGGCAGCUGAAAUUCUGCCUUUACACCGUGGACUGCGUGCAUGUGCUGCGCACUGCGCAUGUGCACCAGCCUACUGCGCAUGCGCAAGUUUCUUGGCGGGUUUUUCCAAAGAUGGAUAGUGAUUACCUGAAGAGUUUCUCGAAGCAAACUGAUGGAUAUUUUUGCUGU
Amblyraja radiata (thorny skate) is the source of this 221-nucleotide long non-coding RNA. RefSeq lists it as uncharacterized. Lineage: Eukaryota; Metazoa; Chordata; Chondrichthyes; Rajiformes; Rajidae. The transcript has 3 exons. The record is from RefSeq and is a predicted model, not a curated record.